RNAcentral lists this ribosomal RNA (257 nucleotides) under uncultured bacterium. RNAcentral describes it as "partial 16S ribosomal RNA". It matches the Rfam family "Bacterial small subunit ribosomal RNA", at positions 334 to 608 of the family's 1533-position model. The record is from RNAcentral.
UUUCCCUACGGGAGGCAGCAGUGGGGAAUAUUGGGCAAUGGGCGCAAGCCUGACCCGGCAACGCCGCGUGAAGGAAGAAGGCUUUCGGGUUGUAAACUUCUUUUCUGAGGGACGACAGUGACGGUACCUCAGGAAUAAGCCACGGCUAACUACGUGCCAGCAGCCGCGGUAAUACGUAGGUGGCAAGCGUUAUCCGGAUUUACUGGGUGUAAAGGGCGUGUAGGAGGGAUGGUAAGUCAGAUGUGAAAACUAUGGGC